AUUGCGUCUCGGCCUUUUGGCUAAGAUCAAGGGUAACAUCUGUCCUGAUCAGUUUGACAUCUGAUACGUCCUCUAAUGACAACAGAUUACAUGGGUUUGGGAGCAGGGAGAUGGAAUAGGAGCUUGCUGCAUCCACGCCGCACAUCCACUGGGUAUGGCAGUACCUCUGGGAAUGGCACACCCCCU
RNAcentral lists this small nuclear RNA (186 nucleotides) under Myotis brandtii (Brandt's bat). RNAcentral describes it as "U2 spliceosomal RNA". It matches the Rfam family "U2 spliceosomal RNA". Rfam says of the family: U2 is a small nuclear RNA (snRNA) component of the spliceosome (involved in pre-mRNA splicing). Complementary binding between U2 snRNA (in an area lying towards the 5' end but 3' to hairpin I) and the branchpoint sequence (BPS) of the intron results the bulging out of an unpaired adenosine, on the BPS, which initiates a nucleophilic attack at the intronic 5' splice site, thus starting the first of two transesterification reactions that mediate splicing. The record is from Rfam by way of RNAcentral. Lineage: Eukaryota; Metazoa; Chordata; Mammalia; Chiroptera; Vespertilionidae.